Molecule: long non-coding RNA, 1261 nt
Organism: Apis cerana (Asiatic honeybee)
Lineage: Eukaryota; Metazoa; Arthropoda; Insecta; Hymenoptera; Apidae
Source: RefSeq, a predicted model, not a curated record
UCGCAGUUUCCGCUCCGUGGUAUGCAGGCCCGCCUAAACAGAUAUAUCAACGAGGUACGUCUACUCGAGAUUAGGGGUUUCAGAAUAAUACCUUGCAGAGACAUCGAGACAUCGAGAUGGGAGAAGGAGAAAAAUAAAAAAUAAAAAUAACGCAGAAACGAGAAGAAUUAAUAAACGUGUCACGUGAUUUAAAAACAAGUAAAACGAGACUUCGUCUGGAAGACUGCAUGUUUUAUGCAGCAACUCGGUUAUCAAUAUCCACGAUGAAAUGAGAAGGAAUAAAAUAUUCACGAUUGUUUUCAGAACUCUCGAACGGUCUUUCGUUCGUGGAAUCGUUCUUUCAACUAAAGAAAGUAUCGCGUAGCCAGAUCGAUCAAACGCGUCCAUUACGACAAAGUUCAUAAAAGGGUAGAUUGAGAAGAUGGCAGGGAAUAAAAAUAGAAGAAGCAUACGAGCGAGAACCCUUACAAACGUUAUAUUUAGUCGGCAUUGUCGCCUAUGUAUGUUUCCACGUUGAUAUUUCCAUAUAAAUUCGUCCGCUUGAAAUAUGAAGCUUUCUACACGAAUAACAAUAUGCAACACGGAACUAUCUUGCACUUCCGUGAGAAUAUAAAGAGGAUUAUAAGCAUCUUGCAUUCCCUGAAUCACGAGCAUUUGACGAUUCGUUCAUUCAUUCAUUCAGGAAUUUAUAUGAAUUUGCUUUUAUAUGAAUCGCCGUUUUGAAUAAUUUGUUGGAAAGGAUGAAAAGGAGAACAAAUGAUGAAUUUUAAGUAGGGAAUAUUAUCGCGAAUCGCAUAUAAAGAACAAUGAAUUAUUUGUAUUGAGGAUUAAAUAAUGAAAUAAUGAAAUGCAUGAAAGUCAAUUAUGGAAGUUAAUUACAUAUAUCAGAGAUACAAAAAUUGGAUUCAUAAAUAUGGUAAAUAUGGUUUAAUUUAUUUAAUGUUAUCAUAGUAAAUGUAAAUAUUCUAAUAUAUUCAAAUUUUAAUUAAUUGAAGUGGAAGAUUUUCGUUAGCUCUAAUUCUAUAUUCAAACAAACUUUCCCAUAAAGGCAUAAAUCCUUAAUCCAUCAUUAUAGUUAAUCUUUAAAUACAACUUUACAAUUUCAAUCCCUUUUGCAAAUACCAGAUAUUUAUGUACCAAACAUCAUUGUAAGUUUCCACGGCGAAACCAUCCCGUUUUAUCAAAAUAAUAUUGAUUUUAUAAUUUUGUUUAUAUAUAAAUAUAUAUACAUAUAAUAAAUAUUUACUUGAUGAUCUGCAAA